This 72-nucleotide transfer RNA is filed under the name bacterium. RNAcentral's name for it is "tRNA-Glu". It matches the Rfam family "tRNA". Rfam says of the family: Transfer RNA (tRNA) molecules are approximately 80 nucleotides in length. Their secondary structure includes four short double-helical elements and three loops (D, anti-codon, and T loops). The record is from RNAcentral. RNAcentral also lists the same sequence under 1 other name.
GGCCCUAUCGUCUAGCGGCUAGGACACAUCCUUCUCAAGGAUGGAACCAGAGUUCGAUUCUCUGUAGGGUCA